This 577-nucleotide ribosomal RNA is filed under the name Pelagomonas calceolata. Its description in RNAcentral is "SSU rRNA". It matches the Rfam family "Eukaryotic small subunit ribosomal RNA", at positions 627 to 1204 of the family's 1831-position model. Lineage: Eukaryota; Pelagophyceae; Pelagomonadales; Pelagomonadaceae. The record is from RNAcentral.
CUCGUAGUUGGAUUCCUGACCUGGGGUAGCCGGUCCGCCUUGCAAAAGGUGCGCACUGAGCGGCCUCGGUCAUCCUUGAGAAGAGCGGUCCUGGCAUUCAGUUGUCGGGGUCGGGAUUCUCGACGUUUACUGUGAAAAAAUCAGAGUGUUCAACGCAGGCUUACGCCUUGAAUACAUUAGCAUGGAAUAAUGAGAUAGGACCUUGGCGGUCUAUUUUGUUGGUUUGCACGCCGAGGUAAUGAUUAAAAGGGACGGUUGGGGUUCUUCGUAUUCAAUUGUCAUAGGUGAAAUUCUUGGAUUUAUGGAAGACGAACUGCUGCGAAAGCGUCGAACAAGGACGUUCUCAUUAAUCAAGAACGAAAGUUAGGGGAUCGAAGAUGAUUAGAUACCAUCUUAGUCUUAACCAUAAACUAUGCCAAUUCAGGAUUGGCGGUCGUUUGUUCUCGACUCCGUCAGCACUGUAUGAGAAAUCAAAAUCUUUGGGUUCCGGGGGGAGUAUGGUCGCAAGGGUGAAACUUAAAGAAAUUGACGGAAGGGCACCACCAGGAGUGGAGCCUGCGGCUUAAUUUGACUCAAC